Molecule: ribosomal RNA, 468 nt
Filed under: uncultured bacterium
Lineage: Bacteria
Description: partial 16S ribosomal RNA
Rfam family: Bacterial small subunit ribosomal RNA
Source: RNAcentral
GACGAACGCUGGCGGCGUGCUUAACACAUGCAAGUCGAACGGACAGGCCCUGCUUUUGUGGGGUGCUCGAGUGGCGAACGGGUGAGUAACACGUGAGUAACCUGCCCUUGACUUUGGGAUAACUUCAGGAAAAUGGGGCUAAUACCGGAUAGGAGCUCCUGCUGCAUGGUGGGGGUUGGAAAGUUUCGGCGGUUGGGGAUGGACUCGCGGCUUAUCAGCUUGUUGGUGGGGUAGUGGCUUACCAAGGCUUUGACGGGUAGCCGGCCUGAGAGGGUGACCGGCGACAAUGGGACUGAGAUACGGCCCAGACUCCUACGGGAGGCAGCAGUGGGGAAUAUUGCAGAAUGGGCGGAAGCCUGAUGCAGCAACGCCGCGUGCGGGAUGAUGGCCUUCGGGGUGUAAACCGCUUUCGCCUGUGACGAAGCGUGAGUGACGGUAAUGGGUAAAGAAGCACCGGCUAACUACGUG